Molecule: ribosomal RNA, 317 nt
Filed under: Tylos sp. clade G MM-2013
Lineage: Eukaryota; Metazoa; Arthropoda; Malacostraca; Isopoda; Tylidae
Description: partial 16S large subunit ribosomal RNA
Source: RNAcentral
AUGAUUUGACGAAAGAAAAUCUGUCUUAGCUUAUUAAAAAAAAAAUAACCUAGAAGUUAAAAGGCUUCUAUUUCCUAAAGGGACGACAAGACCCUAUAAAGCUUUAUUUAUAAUAUUUUUAUUUACUUCAAUAAAAAAUAUAAAUUUAUAAAUUCUAUUGGGGCGAUAGAUAAAUAAACAUUAUUGACUAUAACGUCUUUAACGAAAUUUAUAAAAUGUUUUUAAAAUAUACAACAAGUUACUUUAGGGAUAACAGCAUAAUUUCUUUUUAGAGUCCUUAUCGACAAAGAAGAUUGUGACCUCGAUGUUGGAUUAAG